This 506-nucleotide ribosomal RNA is filed under the name uncultured bacterium. RNAcentral describes it as "partial 16S ribosomal RNA". It matches the Rfam family "Bacterial small subunit ribosomal RNA", at positions 29 to 523 of the family's 1533-position model. The record is from RNAcentral.
AGUGAACGCUGGCGGUAGGCCUAACACAUGCAAGUCGAACGGCAGCAUAGGAGAGCUUGCUCUCUGGGUGGCGAGUGGCGGACGGGUGAGGAAUACAUCGGAAUCUACUUUUUCGUGGGGGGUAACGUAGGGAAACUUACGCUAAUACCGCAUACGACCUACGGGUGAAAGCAGGGGACCUUCGGGCCUUGCGCGAUUGAAUGAGCCGAUGUCGGAUUAGCUAGUUGGCGGGGUAAAGGCCCACCAAGGCGACGAUCCGUAGCUGGUCUGAGAGGAUGAUCAGCCACACUUGAACUGAGACACGGUCCAGACUCCUACGGGAGGCAGCAGUGGGGAAUAUUGGACAAUGGGCGCAAGCCUGAUCCAGCCAUACCGCGUGGGUGAAGAAGGCCUUCGGGUUGUAAAGCCCUUUUGUUGGGAAAGAAAUCCAUCUGGUUAAUACCCGGUUGGGAUGACGGUACCCAAAGAAUAAGCACCGGCUAACUUCGUGCCAGCCGCCGCCGUAA